RNAcentral lists this ribozyme (82 nucleotides) under unclassified sequences. Its description in RNAcentral is "Twister_sister_ribozyme". It matches the Rfam family "Twister_sister_ribozyme". The record is from Rfam by way of RNAcentral.
ACGACCCGCAAGGCCGACGCAUAACGCGCCGCUGGUGCAAGCCCAGCGCCCCGCGCAACGGGGCGGCGCUCAUGGGUAACAA